This 253-nucleotide ribosomal RNA is filed under the name uncultured bacterium. RNAcentral's name for it is "partial 16S ribosomal RNA". It matches the Rfam family "Bacterial small subunit ribosomal RNA", at positions 1250 to 1500 of the family's 1533-position model. The record is from RNAcentral.
CGACACGGUGACGUGGGGCGGAUCCCUGAAAACCGGUCUCAGUUCGGAUCGCAGUCUGCAACUCGACUGCGUGAAGGUGGAGUCGCUAGUAAUCGCGGAUCAGCAACGCCGCGGUGAAUGCGUUCCCGGGCCUUGUACACACCGCCCGUCAAGUCAUGAAAGUGGGCAGCACCCGAAGACGGUGGCCUAACCCUUGUGGGGGGAGCCGUCUAAGGUGAGGCUCGUGAUUGGGACUAAGUCGUAACAAGGUAGC